This 409-nucleotide ribosomal RNA is filed under the name uncultured bacterium. RNAcentral describes it as "bacterial SSU rRNA". It matches the Rfam family "Bacterial small subunit ribosomal RNA", at positions 505 to 916 of the family's 1533-position model. The record is from RNAcentral.
GUGCCAGCCGCCGCGGUAAGACGGAGGGGGCUAGCGUUGUUCGGAAUGACUGGGCGUAAAGGGCGCGUAGGCGGUUUUUUAAGUGAGGCGUGAAAGCCCUGGGCUUAACCCAGGAGGUGCGUUUCAUACUGGAAGACUUGAGUACGAGAGAGGAAAGUGGAAUUUCUAGUGUAGAGGUGAAAUUCGUAGAUAUUAGAAAGAACACCAGUGGCGAAGGCGGCUUUCUGGCUCGUAACUGACGCUGAGGCGCGAAAGCGUGGGGAGCAAACAGGAUUAGAUACCCUGGUAGUCCACGCUGUAAACGAUGAGUGCUAGACGUUGGGGGGUAACUCUCAGUGUCGCAGCUAACGCAUUAAGCACUCCGCCUGGGGAGUACGGUCGCAAGAUUAAAACUCAAAGGAAUUGACGG